AGCUUUGUGCAGUGGCACUACCGUAGCCAAUGAGGUUUAUCCGAGGGACGAUUAUUGCUAAUUGAAGGUAACACAGACACAUUCUACAGAGUGUGAGGCUGAUGGGGAAGUCCUCCACCUCUCUGCAUAUAUACAUGCCUACAACUGAUUUUCUUGAGACAGUGUCUGAACAGUGUCAUACUG
Molecule: small nuclear RNA, 183 nt
Filed under: Rhinolophus ferrumequinum (greater horseshoe bat)
Lineage: Eukaryota; Metazoa; Chordata; Mammalia; Chiroptera; Rhinolophidae
Description: U4 spliceosomal RNA (ENSRFEG00010016586.1)
Rfam family: U4 spliceosomal RNA (bases 1-67)
Source: RNAcentral